This 410-nucleotide ribosomal RNA is filed under the name Ophiomastix wendtii. RNAcentral's name for it is "Ophiocoma wendtii partial 18S ribosomal RNA". It matches the Rfam family "Eukaryotic small subunit ribosomal RNA", at positions 143 to 546 of the family's 1831-position model. The record is from RNAcentral. Lineage: Eukaryota; Metazoa; Echinodermata; Ophiuroidea; Amphilepidida; Ophiocomidae.
AUAACUGUGGNNAUUCUAGAGCUGAUNCAUGCCACCAAGCGCNGGACCUUACGGAAGGCGUGCUUUUAUUAGGAACAAGACCAACUCGGCUUGUCCGGCUUNGUUGGUNAACUCUNGAUAACUUAGCUGAUCGCACGGUCAUCGUACCGGCGACAGAUCCUUCAAACGUCUGCCCUAUCAACUUUCGAUGGUACGUUAUGCGCCUACCAUGGUCGUAACGGGUAACGGAGAAUCAGGGUUCGAUUCCGGAGAGGGAGCCUGAGAAAUGGCUACCACAUCCAAGGCAGGCAGCAGGCGCGCAAAUUACCCACUCUCGACACGAGGAGGUAGUGACGAAAAAUAACAAUACAGGACUCUUUCGAGGCCCUGUAAUUGGAAUGAGUACACUUUAAAUCCUUUAACGAGNANCU